This 303-nucleotide ribosomal RNA is filed under the name uncultured bacterium. Its description in RNAcentral is "partial 16S ribosomal RNA". It matches the Rfam family "Bacterial small subunit ribosomal RNA", at positions 507 to 809 of the family's 1533-position model. The record is from RNAcentral.
AGCAGUAGCCGCGGGAAUACGUAGGUGGCAAGCGUUAUCCGGAAUUAUUGGGCGUAAAGCGCGCGUAGGCGGUUUCUUAAGUCUGAUGUGAAAGCCCACGGCUCAACCGUGGAGGGUCAUUGGAAACUGGGAAACUUGAGUGCAGAAGAGGAAAGUGGAAUUCCAUGUGUAGCGGUGAAAUGCGCAGAGAUAUGGAGGAACACCAGUGGCGAAGGCGACUUUCUGGUCUGUAACUGACGCUGAUGUGCGAAAGCGUGGGGAUCAAACAGGAUUAGAUACCCCAGUAGUCCCUGUCUCUUAUAU